ACUAAAAGUUAUUUUCUAGAACUUCGGUAGAAUUCGCAGAUGAGGUUCCGGGGGUGUUUUCUAUGUUUCUUUCCUUUCUUGAACCAAAAUAAUAUUCGCUUUACAUAUUUAUGUAGUAUAUAUUUUUACAUAUUUUUACAUAUUUAAGUGUAAUAAUUGACCUCUCAAGAAAUUGAGAUGCGCAAAUGCAGUGUGCGCCUGCGCGGCUAGAACAAUUUUACUUGUGUGGACGUGUUUACCAGCCGCUCAGUGGCCUCUUGAAGAAGUGGGUUUGAGUCGAUUCCUCUCGUGUUUUAAAAGUGUGCUUGCGCUUUGUGUUCAUGUUUUGUGUUCUGCCAGUGCUGCUGAUUACAAAGAUGAGCUAUACUCAAGCGAAGAAGUGUGGCUUCGUAUCGUGGAGCACUCGCCAGCCUAUGCAUGCCCCUCAUACGAACUGAGUGUGAAAGAAUUCCGGACAAGCCUGUCAUCAGUGGUGGCUCGUGGAAAAGUUGGCUACUGAAUGUACAGCAGCUGUGUAUGACUUCUGUUUCCUAUGGAAAGAGAACUUCCCUGAGCCACCCGGUUGCUGUAUUCAAGUAGCUCGCAUGUUCAGCAUGUUCAAUAUUAGGCCUUUUGUUUUUCUAUAAAGAAGUCAGUGCUGUAAGUUGUGUGUGUAAAAGCCACCUUUGUAGAUAUGUAAGUGUUCAGAAGAACACAAUGUGCAACAAUAGUUAUCACUGUCAGCCCUGCCCUUGAAUAAGAUUCAAUAAUGAACUUAUUAGUGACUGCAGCAGGCAGCCAUGCACGUAUUAAAAAUUUGAGCCAGUCACAUUUCUACUUAAGUUCAAAAAAUUCUGGAAUGCCUGUGCUCAGAUAUCCCGCUGGAAAGUAUAGUUGUGGCUUGUAUCAUUAUGCAUGCAGGACAGUGAGCACUAGCACACAGCUACUCCUCCCCGAGGUGCCGCAUAUAAUCUGAUCAUGGAUCGAAGCCAUAGACAAGCAUUAUAAUGGUUAUCUUUUUACUACCGGCUGGAACAGCAAGCACUGACUGCUUAUCUCACUAGGGAGUAAUGUUUUGGUGAUCCUCGCUGCCUUGCAUGCGUAACCAUGAAAAACACAAUAAACUUCCGACAGGAAUAUCUCAGAGCAGAGACCUGCUCGAAGAAUUUUUCCAAGAGGGAGUGCGUAGAAACACGACUGCCACAAACUGUUCUAUGCAAAUAUACCCACUUAUUGUAGGCACCAAAGUUUCAGUAUUCUUAGUUGAUUAGGCAGCUUACAGCAUUAUUGUCUUACUUUGUGUUCCCCUGGGCACAUAACUUAUCUGCAAAGGCAGUUUUCUGUUCUUAUGGCUGAAUUUUAUGACAAGCACAAAGCACGUGUCUGAUUGUCUCAGUGCUGCUUUCUAAGGUUUUAUGUCAUGUUUAAUUUAUGUGUAAUCUGCAGUUAGUCACUUAAAAUUGAACUUUUUACAUUGCAUCAAGGCUGUAGCAGCUCAAUGGUUUUAUUUUCACUGUAAUAUUGACUGAAUAUUUUGUUUUAUUAUUGUUGUAACCUUAUUUCAUUGUCUUCUGAAAUUUAAUGACGUAAGUUCAAUCAAGUGAUUUUUUCUAUUGUCAUACUUUAUCAUACCUAACUUUGCCAAUACCUAACCAUUUGUGAUAUAUUAGUGAUACUUAACCAUGUUUAACAUUGUUAAUGAUGACUGACAGAAGGCAUUCUGGAAUACUGUAGCGUUUUUAACUUCACUGUGUCUUUUGUGCGAGUAUUUUGGGAUGGAAUUAGAAUUAGGGGUGUUGCUAAUAUCAUAAUUUGAUUAUUAAACACAGAUUUGUGGUGAAACCCAUUAAUUUCAACUACUCAUGGUUCUAACAUACCUAAAUUUAGAGGUGAGAAAAAAAAAUCAAUUGUUCGACUGCUGCUUUUAGGCUGUAACAAAUUUUUUACCUUUAUAUAUUUGCUGCUGGGCCAAUGUGUUUGCUAAGCUAGCCUUCUGAAUUUCGUUGCACUGACAGAAGUCUGCUCGAAGAGAACAGUUUGUGCCUUUUGUAUGUGUGCAGGUUCCUGGACCAAGCAUCUGGCCAGCCUCUCAAUCGCUUUGUACAAUUAUAGUUACUUUAAAGCAUGCAAGUUUUGGGACAAAGUGUGCAGUCAUUGUUAUGUUUAAUAAAGGUUACAAGUAUGCAUUAAGAUUGGUUGAAAUUUUGCAUUUACUUUCGAAUGUGCAGCAUAAUGCAUUCCAGGUAACAGCAGAAACAAUUAUAAAUUGACGUUUAAAAGCCCGUGUGGUCUCCAAGCAAAACAGAUUAUCGUAAUGAUAGAUGGCAGUCACUAAUUAAUUCUUUCAACAAUUAUGGCACCAAUUUUGCUGAUUAGAAUAGUGCCGGCAAUAAUUUGAUGCUAAAUUAUGUUGCUGUUCCUACUUGUCACUCUCGACAGUGAAAAGCUAAAUGCACUGAUUGUAAAACGCUGACAUGGUGCAGCAAAUUAACCAUGGGAAACGCUCAACAAGCUGGUUUGCAUGAAAAAUAAAUGCCUAAAAAAGGUGUUAAGAGAUCUAGCAAAAGUCUUUUUAGAAUCUUGGCAAGAAGUUUACUAAGCUUCUGAUAAUAUAAGUAUAGUAAACGCUUACAAAAGUUCUUUGAAAAAUCUAAAAAGACGUCUUUUAGACUUCUUGCUAGAAGUUUUCUAGCCGUAUAAUAACGUGGCGUUAGCACAGCUACAGGAGGUUUUUAAGCUGCUUAGGUUUAAGUAACUUCUCAACAAGACUUCUUAUAUACUUUUGAACUAUCCUUUUUGGACAUUUACUAGAAGUUGUUUAGCUUUUCUUGUGUUUGGUGGGUUCUUUUUUACCUUCAAACUGUCCGUGUUAAUGGUUAGACUUGUAAAGUACGCUGGCAGGCCUUUGCGAAUCCAAUAGAAAUUGCAUUAGGCCUGAGACAUGGCUUGUCUCUCGGAAUCGAUUGGAAGUCACGGUUUAUUGUGAAAUUGUCUGCAUAAAUAAUGUCUGAUAAAUCAAACAUCUACUGAAAAAUCGUGUCUAAUAAAUCAAACAUUGAAUAAA
Long non-coding RNA from Rhipicephalus microplus (southern cattle tick), 3043 nucleotides. NCBI's taxonomy places the organism in Eukaryota, Metazoa, Arthropoda, Arachnida, Ixodida, Ixodidae. The record is from RefSeq and is a predicted model, not a curated record.